UCUGAAUGUCUUCUGGGAAAACAGUUCUUGAUCUUACUGCUGAUGAAAGUGGAUAAUGUGUGAAAAAUUGACCUUUCAGAUGACUGGCUAACUGCUUUCAGUGUUAAAGAGAUUUUCCAGAUGGGAAAGAAAGGGAGAUGAACAGCUAAGAGGUUGUUUCCUGGAAGUGGCCUUGACAGCAUUUGGAGGCCACUGGGACUUUCAUUCCUUCUUUGCCCUUUAUCUCCGCAAACCACUGGGUCCCGAGCAGAGCUCUCUAGGAACUGCCACCUAAGAUGUGCUCCUUCUCAAAAAAAAAAAAAAGAUGAGUUCCUUGCUCUCAAAGUUAGGUCUCUCUGUGGGGAGAAGGUUACCAGAGGAAAUAAUGGUAGAGACAGUUUGUGCCUGUGUCCCCAUGUGAGCGGUGCAGGAUUUUCCAUCUGAAUAGAGGGGCCCAGAACUGAACAGAGCUGUCACAAGAGAAAAAGUUGAUGUUUGCUGCAGAAGAUCAACAAAUCAUUUACAUUCUACAAAGUCAGAAAAAUCAGUAGUCUGGUAUUUCUUAGGGUAGUUCUGGGGUCUCCGCUCAAAAACUUGCUGGUCCUUCUGCCUGAGGACCUCUGGGCCAUCAAGUGGCUGCAGAAGGCAGUGGGGGGCUCUCCCCCCAGGAGGGAAUGAGUAAUAAAAA
This 667-nucleotide long non-coding RNA is filed under the name Homo sapiens (human). RNAcentral describes it as "HSALNT0129262". Lineage: Eukaryota; Metazoa; Chordata; Mammalia; Primates; Hominidae. The record is from RNAcentral.